This 135-nucleotide transfer RNA is filed under the name Bacteroidaceae bacterium. Its description in RNAcentral is "tRNA-OTHER". It matches the Rfam family "tRNA". From Rfam's summary of the family: Transfer RNA (tRNA) molecules are approximately 80 nucleotides in length. Their secondary structure includes four short double-helical elements and three loops (D, anti-codon, and T loops). Lineage: Bacteria; Pseudomonadati; Bacteroidota; Bacteroidia; Bacteroidales; Bacteroidaceae. The record is from RNAcentral.
AGGGUUGUAGUUUAGCGGUCUAAAACAAUUUGUUACGACCUGGUACUAUACACACUGACUUCGGAAAGCGUUGAAGCUGAAAAGCACGUAUCCAGGAAAUGAUGAACAACGAAGGUUCGAAUCCUUCUGACCCUG